UGCGGAGUUAGCUUGAAAUAGUGGUGGCUGGACAGCAAACGUUUCUAGGUUCUACCAACUCGUUUGAGACAGCCUUUCUCUACCCCCCAAGUUUGACCUCAAAUCAGGUAGGACUACCCGCUGAACUUAAGCAUAUCAAUAAGCGGAGGAAAAGAAACCAACAGGGAUUGCCUCAGUAACGGCGAGUGAAGCGGCAAGAGCUCAAAUUUGAAAUCCGGUACUUUCAGUGCCCGAGUUGUAAUUUGAAGAUAGUUUUCUGGCGCCGGCCCUUGUCUAUGUUCCUUGGAACAGGACGUCAUGGAGGGUGAGAAUCCCGUGUGGCGGGGAGCCCGGUGCUGUGUAGAUUUCUAUCGACGAGUCGAGUUGUUUGGGAAUGCAGCUCUAAGUGGGUGGUAAAUUCCAUCUAAAGCUAAAUACUGGCGAGAGACCGAUAGCGAACAAGUACAGUGAUGGAAAGAUGAAAAGAACUUUGAAAAGAGAGUGAAAAAGUACGUGAAAUUGUUGAAAGGGAAGGGUAUUGGAUCAGACUUGGUGUUGUGCGAUUAUCUUCUCCUCGUGGGUUGUGCACUCGUGCCUCACUGGGCCAGCAUCGGUUUGGGCGGCAGGACAAUGGCGGGGGAAUGUGGCACUUUACGUGUGUUAUAGCCCUUGCUGAUACUGCCUGCCUGGACCGAGGACUGCGGCUUCUGCCUAGGAUGCUGGCGUAAUGAUUCAAUACCGCCCGUCUUGAAACACGGACCAAGGAGUCUAACGUCUAUGCGAGUGUUUGGGUGUGAAACCCGUACGCGUAAUGAAAGUGAACGUAGGUGAGGGCCCCUCGGGGUGCAUCAUCGACCGAUCCUGAUGUCUUCGGAUGGAUUUGA
RNAcentral lists this ribosomal RNA (863 nucleotides) under Petasospora petersonii. Its description in RNAcentral is "LSU rRNA". The stretch from base 94 to 863 matches the Rfam family "Eukaryotic large subunit ribosomal RNA", at positions 1 to 793 of the family's 3401-position model. The record is from RNAcentral. Lineage: Eukaryota; Fungi; Ascomycota; Saccharomycetes; Phaffomycetales; Wickerhamomycetaceae.